This 253-nucleotide ribosomal RNA is filed under the name uncultured bacterium. RNAcentral describes it as "partial 16S ribosomal RNA". It matches the Rfam family "Bacterial small subunit ribosomal RNA", at positions 524 to 776 of the family's 1533-position model. The record is from RNAcentral.
GACGAACCGUGCAAACGUUGUUCGGAUUCACUGGGCUUAAAGGGCGCGUAGGCGGGUGGUCAAGUCAGAGGUGAAAUCUUUCGGCUCAACCGGAAAAGUGCCCCUGAUACUGGCCAUCUCGAGGGAGGUAGGGGCAUGUGGAACUUCCGGUGGAGCGGUGAAAUGCGUAGAUAUCGGAAGGAACGCCGGUGGCGAAAGCGACGUGCUGGACCUCUUCUGACGCUGAGGCGCGAAAGCUAGGGGAGCAAACGGG